RNAcentral lists this ribosomal RNA (585 nucleotides) under uncultured bacterium. RNAcentral describes it as "partial 16S ribosomal RNA". It matches the Rfam family "Bacterial small subunit ribosomal RNA", at positions 355 to 1375 of the family's 1533-position model. The record is from RNAcentral.
UGGGGAAUUUUGGACAAUGGGCGAAAGCCUGAUCCAGCAAUGCCGCGUGUGUGAAGAAGGCCUUCGGGUUGUAAAGCACUUUUGUCCGGAAAGAAAUCCUUGGCUCUAAUACAGUCGGGGGAUGACGGUACCGGAAGAAUAAGCACCGGCUAACUACGUGCCGGCAGCCGCGGUAAUACGUAGGGUGCAAGCGUUAAUCGGAAUUACUGGGCGUAAAGCGUGCGCAGGCGGUUUGCUAAGACCGAUGUGAAAUCCCCGGGCUCAACCUGGGAACUGCAUUGGUGACUGGCAGGCUAGAGUAUGGCAGAGGGGGGUAGAAUUCCACGUGUAGCAGUGAAAUGCGUAGAGAUGUGGAGGAAUACCGAUGGCGAAGGCAGCCCCCUGGGCCAAUACUGACGCUCAUGCACGAAAGCGUGGGGAGCAAACAGGAUUAGAUACCCUGGUAGUCCACGCCCUAAACGAUGUCAACUAGUUGUUGGGGAUUCAUUUCCUUAGUAACGUAGCUAACGCGUGAAGUUGACCGCCUGGGGAGUACGGUCGCAAGAUUAAAACUUAAAUGAAUUGACGGGGUCAUAGCUGUUUCCU